Molecule: long non-coding RNA, 2169 nt
Organism: Papaver somniferum (opium poppy)
Lineage: Eukaryota; Viridiplantae; Streptophyta; Magnoliopsida; Ranunculales; Papaveraceae
Exons: 9
Source: RefSeq, a predicted model, not a curated record
GUACGAUAACACUCGUUUUUAUUCUUAUCUUCCUCCUCGAUCCGAAUCUGAGAACCUCAUAAAUCCGACCUCAAUUCUCAUACUCAAAGACUAAUCCCAACCUCAUCUCAAAACCAAAAUUAACCCAUGUAUCAGAUCUAAAAGAAAACCCUCUUUUGUAACCCUAUAUUUAGAGUAUUCGUUGAUAAAACCAAAAUCAAAUUCUCAUCUCAUUUUGGUUUAUUUGUUCAUACGAAAACAACUCUCAUCAGCGAAUUAAGUCUGAUUUCAAAAACUAAUCCUAACCAUAUCUUUGAAUCAAAACCCAUCUCAGAAUUGGAACCGUAAUCCUUUGACAUCCCAUAAUAUAAUCUCGUAACCCUAGAUUAAGUUAAACUUUCUCCUGAAAUUAAAGCAAACCCUCUUCUCAUAUUCGAUAGAGAUGAAAGUACAAGAAGAAGACUUCACCAGUGUUUGUGAUAAAACCUUUGAAUUUGCUAUGAGAAUGGAUGCUGGUGGUGGAGAUGAAGAACCCUCUCAUGUCUCUGAUCUCGCCGUGCCAUAUACCAGCACCAAUUGCGGAGGAGCUGAGUAAUGGUGUUGAAGUUCAUGAACAACUGAACAAUGAGGAAGAGGUUAUUAAGGAGCCUCCUCAAGUUCAACCAGUGAAAACUGAAUUUCGAUAAUUGGCAGAGCCUGUUGGGCCUGUGGUGCAAUAAGAUGCUCCAAAGAAGUUAGAUGCUGCAACUGUCAGUUCCUAACUAACUUAUUUUUUAGUUUGAAUCUAUGUACUUAGUUCCUUAUUGAAUCACAUCACUGAUAUCCAAUUUCGUACGCAGUUGAAAGUUGCGAAAGGGCCAACCACCCAUUCUUUUACUGACUUCAAACGAUUUUCUGUGCAUACGUUUUGGUGCGUUUGUUUUUUAUUUAUUAUGCCAUCUCCUUUCUAAUGUCCUUCAUCCCGUUCUUCAUAAUCGAGGGGCAACUCCAUCUAUAUUAAGAGCCUGUCAUCGACUGCAAAAGACAAACAUGUUGAGAAUGAGUUCAAGAGUUUUGGAACAAUUAAGCUAAGAGUUUGCAACAGGGGUUAUGUUUUGGCUUUGUCGAAUUUGAACAGUUGAGCUCCAUGCAAAAUGAAAUGAAGGUUUACAGUGUCAUGUUUAGUGGAGUUGAUGUGUGUUGCAGGUAAGCAUCCAUUGAGUACAUGGUUAGGGAGCAGGAUAAGAAUGUUAACUGCAAAUAUACCAAAUAUGUGUAGGUUGUCUACUCAUUGUGCAGAAGGUGGAGAAUUAUGCUCAGAGGCAGAGUCAGUCUACCAAUCACUAUAAUAUGCUGCCUCUACUGGAAGCAUAACAAUGUGAAAGUUCUUCUAGAAUACAGUACCACUGGAAAUGUAUAGGAUAUGUACUUGAUCCAGACUUUUCAUAUAUUUGUGAAUAUUAUGGCUAUUCAUGAACAACAUUUUAAGUUAGUUGACAAAGAAAAAUGGCCAAGGGAGCAUCCUCUGACCAGAGGUGUAUCUUCAGGUGCAUAGCCCAAAUAAGGUUUGAUUGGAUGGCCAUGUGACCUUCUCUGCUAGUGUUUGUUGGUUGGAAUGAACAUUAUCGAUUUUAUAGUCAUUUUCUAGUGUUUAUAAUCUUGUAUCUCAAAUGAUUACCCAGCAGAUUUGAUUUUUGCCCCUCGAGAUUUUCUUGUACAAUUAGUUUUUCGGUUAGCUCUAUAAUUGGGAUUUUAGGUUAUUCCUAUGUUCUUCUAUUUGCUGGAUCAAUGAUUAUAUGCUAGUUAUCCUCUCACCUUAUACUAGUGUACUUAGUUUGCAGAAACAGAACAAAAAUUCUGGUUGAGAAGGCUUCAAAGAUGUAGUCUAUGAAUCUAAUAAUGUUAAGGAUAAGUCGGGUUCAUUACAUCCUUCCUGUCCAUUGUGCUAAGUGCAGAAAAAGAAUGAGGUUUGCUAAUGAAUCCCUGUUGUAAUACCUUGUUCAUAAUGGGAUUUCGUUGUGUAAGUUCAAACUAAGUUCAUAAUUUUGUAAAAUGUUGCAACGAUGAAUAAUGUUGUGACUUGUGAGGAUGAAUGAUUUUCUUAUCAGGUCAGGGUUUAAGAUUAUUUGUAAUACUGGAAUUUCAUAAUAUGUAUUCUUUUUUAAAUUCUGGUAAUAUAUUUUGCAACGGAUAUAUGUUGCUUAAAUUAUU